Molecule: transfer RNA, 72 nt
Filed under: Camelus bactrianus (Bactrian camel)
Lineage: Eukaryota; Metazoa; Chordata; Mammalia; Artiodactyla; Camelidae
Also listed under: 1 other name
Rfam family: tRNA
About the family: Transfer RNA (tRNA) molecules are approximately 80 nucleotides in length. Their secondary structure includes four short double-helical elements and three loops (D, anti-codon, and T loops).
Source: Rfam by way of RNAcentral
GGGGGUAUAGCUUAGUGGUAGAGUGCAUGCUUAGCAUGCACAAGGUCCUGGGUUCAAUCCCCAGUCCCUCUA